This 318-nucleotide unclassified non-coding RNA is filed under the name uncultured fungus. RNAcentral's name for it is "partial contains small subunit ribosomal RNA, internal transcribed spacer 1, and 5.8S ribosomal RNA". The stretch from base 1 to 73 matches the Rfam family "Eukaryotic small subunit ribosomal RNA", at positions 1759 to 1831 of the family's 1831-position model. The record is from RNAcentral. Lineage: Eukaryota; Fungi.
GCAAACUUGGUCAUUUAGAGGAAGUAAAAGUCGUAACAAGGUUUCCGUAGGUGAACCUGCGGAAGGAUCAUUAACGAGUUUUGAAAUGGGUUGUAGCUGGCCUCACGAAGGCAUGUGCACACCCUGCUCAUCCACUCUCAUACCCCUGUGCACCUAUUGUAGGCUUGGUGGGAAGACUGGUGUCACAGCCAGUUGGAAAGCCUUGCCUAUGCUUUAACACAAACGCUUCAGUUUUAGAAUGUCACUUUUGCGUCUAACGCAUGAAAUACAACUUUCAGCAACGGAUCUCUUGGCUCUCGCAUCGAUGAAGAACGCAGC